AUAUAUGUAACGCUUAAUCACUUUGAACGGGAGAACCAUUUUUUGGGGUGAAUCUUAUUACACGAUAAUAAGUAGGGUUAAUUUUCUUCAAUCCGAAUCCGUCAGCUAAUCUCGUAAGCGUAGAAGAGAAGUUUU
Molecule: small RNA, 135 nt
Filed under: Clostridium beijerinckii
Lineage: Bacteria; Bacillati; Bacillota; Clostridia; Eubacteriales; Clostridiaceae
Also listed under: 1 other name
Description: c-di-AMP sequence
Rfam family: c-di-AMP riboswitch aptamer (ydaO/yuaA leader)
About the family: This family represents a conserved RNA structure found upstream of the ydaO and yuaA genes in Bacillus subtilis and related genes in other bacteria.
Source: RNAcentral